Long non-coding RNA from Notolabrus celidotus (New Zealand spotty), 537 nucleotides. RefSeq lists it as uncharacterized. The record is from RefSeq and is a predicted model, not a curated record. The transcript has 4 exons. Lineage: Eukaryota; Metazoa; Chordata; Actinopteri; Labriformes; Labridae.
CUUUUACCUUAAUAACUCUAAUACACUCAUCUCUUCACACCGUAAUAACUGAGCAGACUGAAGCCUACACGUGACAAAAUAAACGACCAUACCUUACAGGUGUCAGGUGUUAUCAGUGUCUGCUUGUGUGAUGAAGACUUGACAUUGAUGAAGAGAGAAAGCAGCUUAGCCCUGCAGCACUCGGCUGUCCACUCCACUCACAUCUUCAUCACUGAGUUGAGACGCUCCAUGAGGAAGAGGAGGAGCACAUCUGAGUGCGAGGAAGCUCAGAAGGAGUCAGGUAGACUCAGCUGCUGCAGGACCAUCAUGAUUCAGCCUGGUUUUCCUCAUCAGAGCGUUGUUAUUUAGACAUCUGCUGAAACCGGCCAACACACAGAUUCUCCAGGACAGGAGGUCUGGAGUACCUUGGAAUGCUGGGUAUCCGCGCUCCAGAGGUAUGGACAGGCUCCAGCACAGAAGUUAGCCUCGUAGCCUUUUGGCUCGUGGAUCCACCUCCAGCCCAGGUCCUUCUUAAAGUCGAUAUAGAGAGACCGUAAG